CGUAGGGUGCAAGCAUUAUCCGGAGUGACUGGGCGUAAAAGAGUUGCGUAGGCGGUUAGUAAAGCGAAUAGUGAAAUCUGGUGGCUCAACCAUACAGACUAUUAUUCGAACUCACUAACUCGAGAAAUGGUAGAGGUAACUGGAAUUUCUAGUGUAGGAGUGAAAUCCGUAGAUAUUAGAAGGAACACCAAUGGCGUAGGCAGGUUACUGGACCAUUUCUGACGCUAAGGCACGAAAGCGUGGGGAGCGAACCGGAUU
RNAcentral lists this ribosomal RNA (258 nucleotides) under uncultured bacterium. RNAcentral's name for it is "partial 16S ribosomal RNA". It matches the Rfam family "Bacterial small subunit ribosomal RNA", at positions 526 to 779 of the family's 1533-position model. The record is from RNAcentral.